AGGAAUUGGCGGGGGAGCACCACAAGGGGUGAAGCCUGCGGUUCAAUUGGAGUCAACGCCAGAAAUCUUACCUGGGGCGACAGCAGAAUGAAGGUCAAGCUGAAGACUUUACCAGACAAGCUGAGAGGUGGUGCAUGGCCGUUGCCAGCUCGUGCCGUGAGAUGACCUGUUAAGUCAGGUAACGAGCGAGACCCCUGCGUCUAGUUGCUACCAUUACUCUCUGGAGUAGUGGAGCGAAUUAGACGGACCGCCACAGUUAAUGUGGAGGAAGGAAGGGGCCACGGCAGGUCAGUAUGCCCCGAAACCCUAGGGCUACACGCGGGCUGCAAUGGUAUUGACAAUGUGUUCCGAAUCCGAAAGGAGGAGGCAAUCAUCAAACGAUACCUCAGUUAUGACUGAGGGCUGUAACUCGCCCUCACGAAUAUGGAAUCCCUAGUAACUGCGCGUCACUACCGCGCGGUGAAUACGUCCCUGCUCCUUGCACACACCGCCCGUC
RNAcentral lists this ribosomal RNA (496 nucleotides) under uncultured crenarchaeote. Its description in RNAcentral is "bacterial SSU rRNA". It matches the Rfam family "Archaeal small subunit ribosomal RNA", at positions 860 to 1354 of the family's 1478-position model. Lineage: Archaea; Thermoproteati; Thermoproteota. The record is from RNAcentral.